This is a long non-coding RNA of Cygnus olor (mute swan), 921 nucleotides long. RefSeq lists it as uncharacterized. The record is from RefSeq and is a predicted model, not a curated record. The transcript has 2 exons. NCBI's taxonomy places the organism in Eukaryota, Metazoa, Chordata, Aves, Anseriformes, Anatidae.
AUCUUUAUCUGAACGUCUUUUAAAAAUAGAAGGUAAAACAAAACAAAGAAGUGUUAAAGUGCUCUUGGUACUUGAACGUGGCAUUAUUUUAUAUGUUCCUUCAACCUUCAUAUGAAAAGUAAAUCAAGUAAUUGCGCUCUUAAGUAACCAGGAGAGCUUGUCCUGCAGGUGCAGAGGCACAGUCUUACUGAGCAGAAGGCUGGGACCAGGUGUAAGUGACAGAUUUCUUUCAGCCAUCGCACACUGCGCAGCUGGCCUGCUCAAGUGUGAAAUCUGGUAUGGAAGUGACUCUGCCCCGAGGAAUUCUUUUGCCCACAUACAUUACAGCCCUGCUGCUUUUGGUCGAGAAACACAUAUGCUUAAUUCCACACACACGCCUGAUCCCAUUUGCUGACUCUAACCCUCAGCACAACUCACUCAUCCCUCAGUAAAACCUGCAGAAUGCAUGCAAGCACUGGAAUGCAAGCUCCCUCCUCUAAGUGCUGGAGCAAAACCUUAAAAUGGAGCUCGGACAACAGGCAGCAUCGUUCAGGCUAGGCGGCGUUCAGCAAACACUUCCCGAGGCCUGGAGCCUGUGCAGCGCAGCCACUCACAGACCGCCCCUUGCCCAGCAGCCGUACACGUCCUGGUGACUCACGAGCUGGUUAUGGCUCACGGAAUUAAAUUAAACCCGGGGGCGGCUCGGCGUUGGGAUCUCAAGUUUUUAGGACCCGACAGCGCCGGGGAACGAACGCGCGGCGGCAGGCUCCAGACGCCAGGGCGGAAGCUCCACCACAGAGCUUCGCUCCCCAGUGGCCCAGCCUCGGGUGGGGGGGGGCCCGGGCAGGUUUCGCUUCUGGCGGCUGUGACAGCAGGGAGCCACCCACUGUGUCCUUGGGAAUGUUGGCGGCGUUGGCAGAACGCAAAGGUUGCGCAGACAGC